CUUAAUUCCUAAAACACUUUAAACCCUUCACCCUUAUUAAGUAAUUUUAUAAUUAUAUAAAAGUCUUCAUGCUAGAACUAGUAACAAGAAAUUGAAUUUCUCCUAAAUAUAUCCAUAAAGGAAAAUGGACAAACCACUGGUAAUUAACGUAUUUUAGCUAACUAUAGUAACACCCUCAAGAAAACCCUAUAAUUAUUCACGUUAACCUAACACAAGAAUAUUUCAGGAAAGAUUAAAAGAAAGGGAAGGAACUCGGCAAAUUUUAACCCCGCCUGUUUACCAAAAACAUCGCCUCUUGAUAAAUAUAAGAGGUCCAGCCUGCCCAGUGACUUACUUAAACGGCCGCGGUAACAUAACCGUGCAAAGGUAGCAUAAUCAUUCGUUCUUUAAAUAGGGACUCGUAUCAACGGCACCACGAGGGUUAUACUGUCUCCCCCUUCUAAUCAGUGAAACUGACCUCCCCGUGAAGAGGCGGGGAUAAAACUACAAGACGAGAAGACCCCAUGGAGCUUUAAACCCAAUAAUAAUUUUUACCUAAACAAUCCAUAAAAGCAUAAAAAUUCUAUUUGUUGGUUUUGGGUUGGGGCGACCACGGAGUAAAACAAAACCUCCCUGACGAACAGGUUUUAUCCUAAUCCAAGAGCUACUGCUCUAAGAAUGAAAAAUUUGACGUAACAUGAUCCGGUAACCGAUCAACGAACCAAGUUACCCUGGGGAUAACAGCGCAAUCCAUUUUUAGAGCCCUUAUCAACAAAUGGGUUUACGACCUCGAUGUUGGAUCAGGGUGUCCUAGUGGUGCAGCC
This 803-nucleotide ribosomal RNA is filed under the name Limnonectes macrodon (brown mountain frog). RNAcentral describes it as "partial 16S ribosomal RNA". It matches the Rfam family "Bacterial large subunit ribosomal RNA", at positions 1512 to 2560 of the family's 2925-position model. The record is from RNAcentral. Lineage: Eukaryota; Metazoa; Chordata; Amphibia; Anura; Dicroglossidae.